This 556-nucleotide ribosomal RNA is filed under the name uncultured Bifidobacterium sp. RNAcentral's name for it is "bacterial SSU rRNA". It matches the Rfam family "Bacterial small subunit ribosomal RNA", at positions 146 to 710 of the family's 1533-position model. Lineage: Bacteria; Bacillati; Actinomycetota; Actinomycetes; Bifidobacteriales; Bifidobacteriaceae. The record is from RNAcentral.
UCUCCUGGGAACGGGGUGGGUAAUGGCCGGGAAGGCUCCCGCCCCCCUCGCAGGGGGGGUCGGGAAGGCUUUUGCGGAAGGGGAUGGGGUCGCGUCCUAUCGGCUUGUUGGCGGGGCGACGGCCCACCAAGGCUUCGACGGGUAGCCGGCCUGAGAGGGCGACCGGCCACAUUGGGACUGAGAUACGGCCCAGACUCCUACGGGAGGCAGCAGUGGGGAAUAUUGCACAAUGGGGGGAACCCUGAUGCAGCGACGCCGCGUGCGGGAUGGAGGCCUUCGGGUCGUGAACCGCUUUUGAUUGGGAGCAAGCGUGAGUGAGUGUACCUUUCGAAUAAGCACCGGCUAACUACGUGCCAGCAGCCGCGGUAAUACGUAGGGUGCAAGCGUUGUCCGGAAUCAUUGGGCGUAAAGGGCUCGUAGGCGGUUCGUCGCGUCCGGUGUGAAAGCCCAUCGCUUAACGGUGGGUCUGCGCCGGGUACGGGCGGGCUUGAGUGCGGCAGGGGAGGCUGGAAUUCCCGGUGUAACGGUGGAAUGUGUAGAUAUCGGGAAGAACACC